RNAcentral lists this ribosomal RNA (115 nucleotides) under Sutcliffiella tianshenii. Lineage: Bacteria; Bacillati; Bacillota; Bacilli; Caryophanales; Bacillaceae. The record is from RNAcentral.
UCCGGUAGUAAUAGCGAAGAGGUCACACCCGUUCCCAUACCGAACACGGAAGUUAAGCUCUUCAGCGCCGAUGGUAGUUGGGGUUCUUCCCUGUGAGAGUAGGACAUUGCCGGGC